RNAcentral lists this ribosomal RNA (301 nucleotides) under uncultured bacterium. RNAcentral's name for it is "partial 16S ribosomal RNA". It matches the Rfam family "Bacterial small subunit ribosomal RNA", at positions 509 to 809 of the family's 1533-position model. The record is from RNAcentral.
CAGCCGCCGCGGUAAUACGAGGGGGGCGAGCGUUGUUCGGAAUUAUUGGGCGUAAAGGGUGCGUAGGCGGUUUGACAAGUCUUAUGUGAAAUCUCUGGGCUCAACCCAGAGUCUGCAUGGGAAACUGUCGGGCUUGAGUAUGGGAGAGGUGAGUGGAAUUUCCGGUGUAGCGGUGAAAUGCGUAGAUAUCGGAAGGAACACCUGUGGCGAAAGCGGCUCACUGGACCAUUACUGACGCUGAUGCACGAAAGCUAGGGGAGCAAACGGGAUUAGAUACCCCUGUAGUCCCUGUCUCUUAUAU